UCAGAUAGAAAUGUCCCAGUGUGGUAUC
RNAcentral lists this non-coding RNA (28 nucleotides) under Homo sapiens (human). Lineage: Eukaryota; Metazoa; Chordata; Mammalia; Primates; Hominidae. The record is from RNAcentral.